RNAcentral lists this ribosomal RNA (713 nucleotides) under Bacillus sp. b44(2010). RNAcentral's name for it is "bacterial SSU rRNA". It matches the Rfam family "Bacterial small subunit ribosomal RNA", at positions 53 to 749 of the family's 1533-position model. Lineage: Bacteria; Bacillati; Bacillota; Bacilli; Caryophanales; Bacillaceae. The record is from RNAcentral.
ACAUGCAAGUCGAGCGGACAGAAGGGAGCUUGCUCCCGGAUGUUAGCGGCGGACGGGUGAGUAACACGUGGGUAACCUGCCUGUAAGACUGGGAUAACUCCGGGAAACCGGAGCUAAUACCGGAUAGUUCCUUGAACCGCAUGGUUCAAGGAUGAAAGACGGUUUCGGCUGUCACUUACAGAUGGACCCGCGGCGCAUUAGCUAGUUGGUGAGGUAACGGCUCACCAAGGCGACGAUGCGUAGCCGACCUGAGAGGGUGAUCGGCCACACUGGGACUGAGACACGGCCCAGACUCCUACGGGAGGCAGCAGUAGGGAAUCUUCCGCAAUGGACGAAAGUCUGACGGAGCAACGCCGCGUGAGUGAUGAAGGUUUUCGGAUCGUAAAGCUCUGUUGUUAGGGAAGAACAAGUGCAAGAGUAACUGCUUGCACCUUGACGGUACCUAACCAGAAAGCCACGGCUAACUACGUGCCAGCAGCCGCGGUAAUACGUAGGUGGCAAGCGUUGUCCGGAAUUAUUGGGCGUAAAGGGCUCGCAGGCGGUUUCUUAAGUCUGAUGUGAAAGCCCCCGGCUCAACCGGGGAGGGUCAUUGGAAACUGGGAAACUUGAGUGCAGAAGAGGAGAGUGGAAUUCCACGUGUAGCGGUGAAAUGCGUAGAGAUGUGGAGGAACACCAGUGGCGAAGGCGACUCUCUGGUCUGUAACUGACGCUGA